GACGAACGCUGGCGGCGUGCUUAACACAUGCAAGUCGAACGGAAAGGCCCUGCUUGCAGGGUACUCGAGUGGCGAACGGGUGAGUAACACGUGGGUGAUCUGCCCUGCACUUCGGGAUAAGCCUGGGAAACUGGGUCUAAUACCGGAUAGGAGCCAUUUUUAGUGUGAUGGUUGGAAAGUUUUUUCGGUGUAGGAUGAGCUCGCGGCCUAUCAGCUUGUUGGUGGGGUAAUGGCCUACCAAGGCGGCGACGGGUAGCCGGCCUGAGAGGGUGGACGGCCACAGUGGGACUGAGAUACGGCCCAGACUCCUACGGGAGGCAGCAGUGGGGAAUAUUGCACAAUGGGCGCAAGCCUGAUGCAGCGACGCCGCGUGGGGGAUGACGGCCUUCGGGUUGUAAACUCCUUUCGCUAGGGACGAAGCUUUUUGCGACGGUACCUAGAUAAGAAGCACCGGCUAACUACGUG
This 465-nucleotide ribosomal RNA is filed under the name uncultured bacterium. RNAcentral's name for it is "partial 16S ribosomal RNA". It matches the Rfam family "Bacterial small subunit ribosomal RNA", at positions 28 to 507 of the family's 1533-position model. The record is from RNAcentral.